Molecule: ribosomal RNA, 332 nt
Filed under: uncultured bacterium
Lineage: Bacteria
Description: bacterial SSU rRNA
Rfam family: Bacterial small subunit ribosomal RNA
Source: RNAcentral
CGUGUAGGCGGUUCUGAUUAGUCUGAUGUGAAAGCCCUGGGCUCAACCCAGGAAGUGCAUUGGAUACUGUCAGACUUGAAUACGGGAGAGGGUAGUGGAAUUCCUAGUGUAGGAGUGAAAUCCGUAGAUAUUAGGAGGAACACCGGUGGCGAAGGCGGCUACCUGGACCGAUAUUGACGCUGAGACGCGAAAGCGUGGUAGCAAACAGGAUUAGAUACCCUGGUAGUCCACGCCGUAAACGAUGAGUACUAGGUGUUGCGGGUAUUGACCCCUGCAGUGCCGCAGCUAACGCAUUAAGUACUCCGCCUGGGAAGUACGGUCGCAAGACUAAA